ACCAGCAGCAAUAUCACCCUGUAGCCCAAGACUGGUUGCCCACUGAAGCUAAGCAGGGCUGAGCCUGGUCAGUACCUGGAUGGGAGACCUCCUGGGAAAACUAGGUUGCUGCUGGAA
This 117-nucleotide ribosomal RNA is filed under the name Sinocyclocheilus anshuiensis. The record is from RNAcentral. Lineage: Eukaryota; Metazoa; Chordata; Actinopteri; Cypriniformes; Cyprinidae.